UUACAUAUAUCAAGAAUGACUGGCACUUACUUCUUUUCCCAGUACGACCUCGAUCUGUGAAAUCGUCUUACGCCAUAUGUACUGAGAUUGAUCGGGAGACCCAUUCCUCUCGUAGUAAA
RNAcentral lists this ribosomal RNA (119 nucleotides) under Abies koreana. The record is from RNAcentral. Lineage: Eukaryota; Viridiplantae; Streptophyta; Pinopsida; Pinales; Pinaceae.